UGAGUACGAGAUGCUACGGCGUCGAAGCAGUCUAUGUCAUACUUCCAAGAAAAGCUUGCACUGUCAUAAACAAAGAAUGCCUGUACCAUAACCGACACAGGUGGGUAGGUAGAGUAUACUAAGGGGCGCGAGAUAACUCUCUCUAAGGAACUCGGCAAAAUGACUCCGUAACUUCGGGAGAAGGAGUGCCUUAUUUUUAAGGUUGCAAUAACAAGAUCCAAGCAACUGUUUACCAAAAACACAGGUCUCCGCUAAGUCGUAAGACGAUGUAUGGGGGCUGACGCCUGCCCAGUGCCAGAAGGUUAAAGAAGUUGGUUAGCAUUCGCGAAGCUGAUAACUGAAGCCCUGGUGAACGGCGGCCGUAACGAUAACGGUCCUAAGGUAGCGAAAUUCCUUGUCGGGUAAGUUCCGACCCGCACGAAAGGCGUAAUGAUUUGGAUACUGUCUCGGAGAGGGGCUCGGUGAAAUAGACUUGUCUGUGAAGAUGCGGACUACCUGCACCUGGACAGAAAGACCCUAUGAAGCUUUACUGUAACUUGAGAUUGAAAUUGGACUUUAUUUGCGCAGUAUAGGUGGGAGGCGUUGAGAAUAAUCUUGCGGGAUUAUGGGAGCCAUCAGUGAGAUACCACUCUUGUAAUGUUAGAUUUCUAACUUUGUAUCAUUAUCUGGUCAAAGAACAGUUUCAGGCGGGCAGUUUGACUGGGGCGGUCGCCUCCCAAAGGGUAACGGAGGCGCACAAAGGUUUCCUCUGAACGGGUAGAAAUCGUAUCUAGAGUGUAAAGGCAUAAGGAAGCUUGACUGUGAGACCUACAAGUCGAGCAGGGACGAAAGUCGGUCUUAGUGAUCUGACGGUGCUGAGUGGAAAGGCCGUCACUCAACGGAUAAAAGUUACUCUAGGAUAACAGGCUGAUCUCCCCCAAGAGUUCACAUCGACGGGGAGGUUUGGCACCUCGAUGUCGGCUCAUCGCAUCCUGGGGCGGUAGUACGUCCCAAGGGUUGGGCUGUUCGCCCAUGAAAGCGGUACGCGAGCUGGGUUCAGAACGUCGUGAGACAGUUCGGUCCAUAUCCGGUGUAGGCGUUAGAAUAUUGAAAGGAGCCUUCUCUAGUACGAGAGGACCGAGAAGGACAUACCUCUGGUGUACCAGUUAUCGUGCCAACGGUAAACGCUGGGUAGCUAUGUAUGGAGUGGAUAACCGCUGAAAGCAUCUAAGUGGGAAGCCCACCUUAAGAUAAGUAUUCUCAU
RNAcentral lists this ribosomal RNA (1243 nucleotides) under metagenome. RNAcentral describes it as "bacterial LSU rRNA". It matches the Rfam family "Bacterial large subunit ribosomal RNA", at positions 1564 to 2817 of the family's 2925-position model. The record is from RNAcentral.